GCCUGGAGUUUGGCUUUCUGAGAGGAAGGCUAAGAACUGGGCAUUGGUUCUGAAAGCUCCAGAAAUGCCUUUAUGAUGCCCCUUGAUAAUUCGGUGACUCUAUGUGUCAUCCUCUAUUUCUCAGGAGAAGUGAAAAAUAAGAAACGGGUUUAAUAAAACGACUGUGCAGCAGGUAGUUCAAAGAGGAUUGGGAAGCCUGGGCAUAAGUGGAGGGACGCAAAUGCUAUCCCUGAGGAUCAUAGCCGCUCGUGUUUGUGCAUUGGAAAAUCAAGCCAUCCACCUCACCUCACCCUCCCUGCUUCAGGCAUAAAUCUGCAGAUCAACAUCCAACAACUUUGAAUACCAGGGCAUAGAAGCGCCUGUUGAAAAAAAUACCCAUAAGGACACCACCAGUGAUAAGGAGUUGCAACUGGUGUCAUCUGCAUUCCAGUAGCAAUCCUUCAGUUCCAGCCGCGAACGGGAGCAUGCGGUCGCUGUAUCUACAGCAUCUAGCAACUGCACGGGACCUAGUGACCACUCAGUCAUGAAUUAAAUGACUUCUCUACAGGAAUCUUAAAAUUUCUGUUUUCCUUUAAUGACCGUAGAAAAAGUGAAAAAUUCUAGUCGUCUUGAGACUGAUGUGGUAUAUUGGUGUGCAUGUGAUUGUGUUAGUGUUUAAGAUUGUGCUUGUGACAAAUGGUUAAUGAGAAAAGAAAACUAGGCACCCAAAUAUGUGAUGAUGUGCAUGUGCUGAGCUGAGGCCAUCAGCACUGCACCAGGCUAUAGAAUGAUGAUCGCACAGACGUCACUAGGCCCUUCCAAUAUUGCCAUGUGGAGCUUGAAAGCACCUGUCCCUCGCCAGCAAGACCAUGUGAGGUAAACCAGUAAUUUCA
Long non-coding RNA from Pteropus alecto (black flying fox), 872 nucleotides. RefSeq lists it as uncharacterized. The transcript has 3 exons. The record is from RefSeq and is a predicted model, not a curated record. Lineage: Eukaryota; Metazoa; Chordata; Mammalia; Chiroptera; Pteropodidae.